This 357-nucleotide ribosomal RNA is filed under the name uncultured soil bacterium. Its description in RNAcentral is "bacterial SSU rRNA". It matches the Rfam family "Bacterial small subunit ribosomal RNA", at positions 29 to 382 of the family's 1533-position model. The record is from RNAcentral.
AGUGAACGCUGGCAGGUAGGCCUAACACAUGCAAGUCGAACGGCAGCANANGAGAGCUUGCUCUCUGGGUGGCGAGUGGCGGACGGGUGAGGAAUGCAUCGGAAUCUACUCUUUCGUGGGGGAUAACGUAGGGAAACUUACGCUAAUACCGCAUACGACCUACGGGUGAAAGCCGGGNGACCUUCGGGCCUGGCGCCGAAAGAAUGACCGAUGCCCGAUUAGCUAGUUGGCGGGGUAAGAGCCCACCAAGGCGACGAUCGGUAGCUGGUCUGAGAGGAUGAUCAAGCACACUUGGAACUGAGACCCGGNCCAACUCUACGGGAGGCACAGUGGGGGAUAUUGGCAAUGGGCGCAAGC